RNAcentral lists this ribosomal RNA (328 nucleotides) under uncultured eukaryote. Its description in RNAcentral is "partial 18S ribosomal RNA". It matches the Rfam family "Eukaryotic small subunit ribosomal RNA", at positions 1470 to 1796 of the family's 1831-position model. The record is from RNAcentral.
CCCUUAGACGUUCUGGGCCGCACGCGCGCUACACUGACGGAGCCAGCGAGUAUAAACCUUGGCCGAGAGGUCUGGGAAAUCUUGUGAAACUCCGUCGUGCUGGGGAUAGAGCAUUGUAAUUAUUGCUCUUCAACGAGGAAUUCCUAGUAAGCGCGAGUCAUCAGCUUGCGUUGAUUACGUCCCUGCCCUUUGUACACACCGCCCGUCGCUACUACCGAUUGAAUGGCUUAGUGAGGCUUCCGGAUUGGUUUAGAGAAGGGGGCAACUCCAUCUUGGAACCGAGAAGCUAGUCAAACUUGGUCAUUUAGAGGAAGUAAAAGUCGUAACA